GACGAACGCUGGCGGCGUGCUUAACACAUGCAAGUCGAACGGAAAGGCCCUGCUUUUGUGGGGUGCUCGAGUGGCGAACGGGUGAGUAACACGUGAGUAACCUGCCCUUGACUUUGGGAUAACUUCAGGAAACUGGGGCUAAUACCGGAUAGGAGCUCCUGCUGCAUGGUGGGGGUUGGAAAGUUUCGGCGGUUGGGGAUGGACUCGCGGGUUAUCAGCUUGUUGGUGGGGUAGUGGCUUACCAAGGGUUUGACGGGUAGCCGGCCUGAGAGGGUGACCGGCCACAAGGGGACUGAGAUACGGCCCAGACGCCUACGGGAGGCAACAGUGGGGAAUAUUGCACAAUGGGCGGAAGCCUGAUGCAGCAGCGCCGCGGGCGGGAUGACGGCCUUCGGGUUGUGAACCGCUUUCGCCUGUGACGAAGCGUGAGUGACGGUAAUGGGUAAAGAAGCACCGGCUAACUACGUG
RNAcentral lists this ribosomal RNA (468 nucleotides) under uncultured bacterium. RNAcentral's name for it is "partial 16S ribosomal RNA". It matches the Rfam family "Bacterial small subunit ribosomal RNA", at positions 28 to 507 of the family's 1533-position model. The record is from RNAcentral.